GAGGGCGUGGUAGAGGUGCCUGGAUUCCUCUGUUGGUCUCUGCGGUUCACAUCCUGUGGGCGGGCAGUGCCUGCUUGGGGUUUACUCUCCUUAGGAUUCUCCUCUGCAACAGCAGGCGCGCGGGCCGGAAGGCAGCGGCCUCGGCCGAGCAGCAGCGCCCGCAAAGGCGCCUCGUCGUCCUUGGGCGGAUGGCACUGCAGUCCUGG
RNAcentral lists this long non-coding RNA (206 nucleotides) under Homo sapiens (human). Its description in RNAcentral is "LNC_000924". Lineage: Eukaryota; Metazoa; Chordata; Mammalia; Primates; Hominidae. The record is from RNAcentral.